UACGGAGGGGGCUAGCGUUGUUCGGAAUUACUGGGCGUAAAGCGCACGUAGGCGGCUUUGUAAGUUAGAGGUGAAAGCCUGGUGCUCAACACCAGAAUUGCCUUUAAGACUGCAUCGCUAGAAUUGUGGAGAGGUAAGUGGAAUUCCGAGUGUAGAGGUGAAAUUCGUAGAUAUUCGGAAGAACACCAGUGGCGAAGGCGACUUACUGGACACAUAUUGACGCUGAGGUGCGAAAGCGUGGGGAGCAAACAGG
This 253-nucleotide ribosomal RNA is filed under the name uncultured bacterium. RNAcentral describes it as "partial 16S ribosomal RNA". It matches the Rfam family "Bacterial small subunit ribosomal RNA", at positions 524 to 776 of the family's 1533-position model. The record is from RNAcentral.